Molecule: ribosomal RNA, 484 nt
Filed under: uncultured bacterium
Lineage: Bacteria
Description: partial 16S ribosomal RNA
Rfam family: Bacterial small subunit ribosomal RNA
Source: RNAcentral
GACGAACGCUGGCGGCGUGCUUAACACAUGCAAGUCGAACGAUGAAGCUGGAGCUUGCUCCGGUGGAUUAGUGGCGAACGGGUGAGUAACACGUGAGUAAUCUGCCAUUGACUCUGGGAUAACUGCGGGAAACUGUAGCUUAUACCGGAUUCGACACCUUAUGGCAACCGAUGGGUGUGGAAAGGAUUUCGGUCAAGGAUGAACUCGCGGCCUAUCAGCUAGUUGGUGAGGUAAUGGCUGACCAAGGCGACGACGGGUAGCCGGCAUGAGAGGGUGACCGGCCACACUGGGACUGAGACACGGCCCAGACUCCUACGGGAGGCAGCAGUGGGGAAUAUUGCACAAUGGGCGAAAGCCUGAUGCAGCAACGCCGCGUGAGGGAUGAAGGCCUUCGGGUUGUAAACCUCUUUUAGUUGGGAAGAAGCGAAAGUGACGGUACCAACAGAAAAAGCACCGGCUAACUACGUGCCAGCCGCCGCAGUAA